GGACAGGUGGCAGAGUGGUCGAAUGCACUAGUCUUGAAAACUAGCGUGGGUGCAAGCCUACCGUGGGUUCGAAUCCCACCCUGUCCG
RNAcentral lists this transfer RNA (87 nucleotides) under Aurantiacibacter marinus. Its description in RNAcentral is "Erythrobacter sp. HWDM-33 tRNA". It matches the Rfam family "tRNA". From Rfam's summary of the family: Transfer RNA (tRNA) molecules are approximately 80 nucleotides in length. Their secondary structure includes four short double-helical elements and three loops (D, anti-codon, and T loops). The record is from Rfam by way of RNAcentral. Lineage: Bacteria; Pseudomonadati; Pseudomonadota; Alphaproteobacteria; Sphingomonadales; Erythrobacteraceae.